This 592-nucleotide long non-coding RNA is filed under the name Callithrix jacchus (white-tufted-ear marmoset). RNAcentral's name for it is "lncRNA (ENSCJAG00000069770.1)". Lineage: Eukaryota; Metazoa; Chordata; Mammalia; Primates; Cebidae. The record is from RNAcentral.
AUGAAUGGUUUAGCACCAUCUUCUUGGUACUAUCUUCACGAUAGUGCGCAAGUUCUCGCGAGAUCUGGUCAUUUAAAAGUGUGUAGCACCUCCCUCCUCGCUCUUUCGCUCCUGCUUUGGCCAUGGGAUGUGCCUGCCCCUGCUUUGGCUUCCACUGUGAUUGGAAGCUUCCUGAGGCCUCACCGGGAGAGAUGCUGCUAUGCUUCCUGUACAGCCUGCAGAACCAUGAGCCGAAGUAUGAAGACCAGGGAAGUCAAUGUGUGUUCUUCUAGUUAGCACAGAAGUUUAUAGGGGGUUACAAAUAGCAAAGAAAGAUGUCAUGACUAUCACAUUGUCUUAAGACGGACUAUUAAAUACACUCCCACAUAUUGGAAAGGAAAUGAAAAUCAGCUAUGAAGGAAACAAGCCAUACAGAGAAGAAAAACUGUAAAUGAUGAGUUAUAACUCUUGAACCAGUAUACAGGAAAUGCGAUCCUGUUAUUUUUUUUUUUUUUUUGUCUUUUUCCUAUAUAAGCAAAAACUUAACUUUUAACUUCAGAGCACUGACCCUAUUUCUCUGGAAUCUGUGUGUCCCAGAAUGGCCAUUCCCAGG